CAGCCCCAGCCCCAGCCCGGGAGGCGCCGGUACCUGCGUCCGCCGGCCGCGGUUCCUGCGCGCCGCUAAGCCCCUGCGGCGCGUCCUGCGGAGCGGAGCGGUGCGGUGCGACUAGCAGCGUCGAGCAGGAGGAAACGACGAACGUGUAUCUGCCUCAAAUACGUCUUUGCUCUCCUACCUGCAUCUCCUCUAGCUCUGUUUAUGGAAGGAUACAGCAGCAUGGACACUCUCUAGGCGUUUUCAUAUACGAAGAUCUAGUGAGAUGCUCUGCACUGCAAAAUACCGUUUGGAUCGUGGGGGCAGCGUAGCUGGGAAAAAGAGAUUUUGGGCAGAAGUCCCUUGCACUGGGAACAGUGGACAUGGACUGAAGAAGAGUGAAUGCCCCCCACAGCCGUGCUUUUGCAGGCUUUCCUAGAUACAUCACAAACGACGGCAGCAGUCCCUGAGCAACAUACCUUUGGAGCCCAGCAUCUAUUCAUAGGCUGCUGAUGGAUUCAGUUCCAUCACAGGAGUCUCCGGGGGGGCUCUAGAAGAGCCUGGUUUCUUUGGCUGGUUGAGGUCAAAGCUACACCCUUCAGAACCCUCCUCACUGGCAAUGCCUGGUGCCAAACAGUGCACUCAGGGCUUUUCAAGUAUCUGAGCUGAUUUGCCAAGUGAAUAGGUUUUUCACUGAUAAAUAGGUCCAGGUAUAGGAUAUGUGCAGCUAAUCAAUGACUUAUCUCUAGUAAACUAACAUGAUGUAGUGCAUGCUGCCACCUACGUCUCCUGAUUCAGGUUUCUGUACUGCACCUUCAAUUUAUGGGCAUCCUUUGCUGAAGGCAUCUUGUGAGACUCCACAAGGGACCAUAAACAGUUGGGGUUUUUAGGAAGGACCACAAGCUCUGGUAGGCCCACAAAGGAAUGAAACCAACCAUUUCUCACUGGCUCAGCAUGAGGAUGCCUUGAUGCAGACGAAGAACCAGCAGUCACAUUGGUGAAAUGUAAGUAGUGGCUGGAGCCUCAUCUGUGCUGAGGAUGCUGCCAGCACAGCUGUACCACUGACAGCAGUGGAAUAUUUUGCUCAAGUUCUCUAGAGGAAUCAAAGCCUGUAUUUUCUGUCUCUGGCUGUCUCUUGUUCUGUUGCUCCUCACUCAUUAAAAGGAAAUUCAGCCACACAAA
Long non-coding RNA from Pezoporus occidentalis (night parrot), 1158 nucleotides. RefSeq lists it as uncharacterized. The record is from RefSeq and is a predicted model, not a curated record. NCBI's taxonomy places the organism in Eukaryota, Metazoa, Chordata, Aves, Psittaciformes, Psittacidae. The transcript has 2 exons.